GGAGAGGAGAGGAGAGUAAAGGAGAGGAAAAAAGAAAGAGAAUACAGAUAUUAAUCAAAUAAUUAUAAUAAUGGAUUUAUAAUUAAGGGCUGAGACAAGUAUUCUGAAGAAAGGGAACAUGGUUUCAGGAGACCACAUACCAUAAAGACUCCAAAUGGGAAGGGUAAGGAAGGAUUCGUAAGGAAAUUACACUUGAACUAAGAUGAGGAACUGAAUAGCAUGUCGGUGAGGGAGGGGGAUGAAAAUAGAGGGAGUGACACUGGGGGUGUAUUUAUGAAAGAGGGAACCUUGGUUUCUUUGCUCAUGUUGAGGCCCACCUAGAGAAUCUGGACCUAGAGCCAAACUCCUGAGUCUAUUGAAUGAAACAAAAUUUUUUGAUCCGGAUCUGACUAUUCAGGCAUCCCCAGAACCAAAAGGACCUCGUGAGCAAGUUAAUUGUCAAGGCAGAACUGGAGGCUUAGCUCACUCUUCCUCCUCUUAGCUUAUCAAGUAGAAGGCUUGAUAAGGAAAGGUGGCUCAUGUUAGAAGCAAAAAUAAAGAUAUAAAAAAUUCCUAGGUUUUCUUAUUCACAGUUGUUUUCAUUUCCUUCUAUUACCCCCAUGCUAUCUGGUGAAACUUGGCCCAGAACUCUGGUGAACUUGGAGACCUAUCCUUCCGAGCUACAAAUGAAGACUUAGGAGUGUUCAUCAAAUAAGGAGUUGCAAGAAGAAUGCAGAAACCAGAUUUAUUGUAUACAUGGAAAA
Molecule: long non-coding RNA, 743 nt
Organism: Macaca mulatta (Rhesus monkey)
Lineage: Eukaryota; Metazoa; Chordata; Mammalia; Primates; Cercopithecidae
Source: RefSeq, a predicted model, not a curated record